CGAAUCUGGAUCUCGAUCAACCCAUUGUAUUUUUAGUCCAACUAUAUAUGUGUUGUUGUAGUUAGGGUUUCAGUAUUCUUUUAGGCUAACCUCUAUAGAGUCCUCAACUUUCACUUAACAUAUAUAUCGACCUUGCCUUCACCUUCUCCUAUACCAAUAUAGUGGAACCCAUAAAAUAGUUUUAUCACUUAGAACUUGAGUUAUAAUCCUGGAAUUCGAUCUCAUUUUUUAGACUAAUAUAUAUUUGUUACGUGUGUCUCGA
This 262-nucleotide long non-coding RNA is filed under the name Panax ginseng (ginseng). RNAcentral describes it as "long non-coding RNA (PGIN_LNC015177)". The record is from RNAcentral. Lineage: Eukaryota; Viridiplantae; Streptophyta; Magnoliopsida; Apiales; Araliaceae.